UACGACGGGGGCGAGCGUUGCUCGGAAUCACUGGGCGUAAAGCGCACGUAGGCGGCUUUCUAAGUCAGGGGUGAAAUCCUGGAGCUCAACUCCAGAACUGCCUUUGAUACUGGAGAGCUUGAGUCCGGGAGAGGUGAGUGGAACUCCGAGUGUAGAGGUGAAAUUCGUAGAUAUUCGGAAGAACACCAGUGGCGAAGGCGGCUCACUGGCCCGGUACUGACGCUGAGGUGCGAAAGCGUGGGGAGCAAACAGG
Molecule: ribosomal RNA, 253 nt
Filed under: uncultured bacterium
Lineage: Bacteria
Description: partial 16S ribosomal RNA
Rfam family: Bacterial small subunit ribosomal RNA
Source: RNAcentral